This 151-nucleotide ribosomal RNA is filed under the name uncultured Chloroflexota bacterium. Its description in RNAcentral is "uncultured Chloroflexi bacterium partial 16S ribosomal RNA". It matches the Rfam family "Bacterial small subunit ribosomal RNA", at positions 335 to 504 of the family's 1533-position model. Lineage: Bacteria; Bacillati; Chloroflexota. The record is from RNAcentral.
ACUCCUACGGGAGGCAGCAGCAGGGGAUCUUGGGCAAUGGGCGAAAGCCUGACCCAGCGACACCGCGUGGGGGACGAAGGCCUUCGGGUCGUAAACCCCUUUUCCAAGGGAAGAUAAUGACGGUACUUGGGAAUAAGCCCCGGCUAACUCC